UAGGUGCACAAAGUCUGAGGUUUUGUC
This 27-nucleotide non-coding RNA is filed under the name Homo sapiens (human). The record is from RNAcentral. Lineage: Eukaryota; Metazoa; Chordata; Mammalia; Primates; Hominidae.